This 253-nucleotide ribosomal RNA is filed under the name uncultured bacterium. Its description in RNAcentral is "partial 16S ribosomal RNA". It matches the Rfam family "Bacterial small subunit ribosomal RNA", at positions 524 to 776 of the family's 1533-position model. The record is from RNAcentral.
UACGGAGGAUCCAAGCGUUAUCCGGAUUCACUGGGUUUAAAGGGUGCGUAGGUGGAAUGACAAGUCAGUGGUGAAAACCUGCAGCUUAACUGUAGAACUGCCCAUUGAUACUGUUAUUCUUGAGUACAUUUGAUGUGAGUGGAAUGUGUCGUGUAGCGGUGAAAUGCUUAGAUAUGACACAGAACACCAAUUGCGAAGGCAGCUCACAAACUGUAACUGACACUGAGGCACGAAAGCGUGGGGAUCAAACAGG